GGCCCCGGGGGUCUUGGGGAAUACGGGAAGGGGUAAUGGGGGCACGGACGGCCCUCGCGCAGAAAGCUCAGUGUUCGCUGGGAGUGGCGGAAGGGGGCGGCGGCCAAUCAGCGCCCAGUUCUCACGUCUCCAGGUCCCAAGACUGGAUGAGACGGCGCCCGGGAUUGGUUUUGAUGUAGAUUCCCGAAGGGGAGGGGCGGCGAAAACACUCCGAUUGCCAAGGGGGCAACUAGCCAAAUUCAAGCGCGGAUUUACGCUGAAAUUCUCCCCAGCUUCUGGGAUCCUGCCGAACAGCGGGUGGGCAGUUUAUUCAACAGGUUAACAUAUUUGUGGUGAGUGGGAUUGGGGCACGGCCAAGCCGUGCUGGCGAGUGGUUGAGAAGCCUAAGGACUCCCCGGUUUGCCCAUCCCAGCUCCACCUCCCACCCGCCGUGCGACCUUGUGCAAAUUACUUCACGGCUCUGGGCUUGUUUUCCCUGAAAUGUGGGCUAAUAAUAGUUCAGGCCUCACUUGGUGGUUGUGAUGGGCUGGAUGAGUUAGGACUACAAGUGAAAUAGAACGGUGCCUCGUUGUUGUUAAGGGCCCAAUAAAUGUUAGCGGCAAUUAUUGGGAGUAGUAAUUGAAGAGGCCCCAUUCUCCCUUUAUAGGGGCCUCAAUUUUUGUUUAUAAAAUUGAGCGGAUGGCACUGGGCCCAGCCUCUGAAGUUCGAGGUACAUCACAAGUUAUGGAGUCAGACAGACUGCUGUUGUACUCCUGGCUCUUCCACUUCUUGCUCUUUGACAUGGGCAAGUCGGUUAAUCUCCUUAGUCCUUGCUUUCCUCUUCUCUCAAAUGGAGGUAAUUGUCUAGUUCAUAGGGCUCUUGUGUGGAUUCAUUUGUUCAGUAAACACUUGCCACAUAUCAGUUAUGGUGCUGAGGAUAUAAUGGUGACACCAGUUGUUAAACAGGAAGCAGAUGUGAAACAGCUGAAUACAUUAUUAACAGGUGUGAGAUGUGGGAAGGCAACAGCAGGGCUUGUGAUGGUGAAUCAGUUAGUGUUGGGCCUCAGCUCUGAGUAGGGCAUUAUUUUAGGCACAGGUAUACAAGAGGGAACAAGGUGACAAAAACUAGUGGCCUCAUGUUAUAGUGUGGGGAGACAGACGAGAAGACAGUUGAAGCGUGUACUGUAUAAGAUGGCAGUAAGUGCUUUGGAGAAAAAUGAAGCAGGGAUGUGGCGGACGGGGGAGUGUUACAAGUUUAGAGAGAAUGGCCAGGCAAGGCCUUCAAGGGAACAUUUGAGCAGAGAUGCGAAAUGAGGAACAGGUCCUCAUAGGUAUCUGGUGAAUAACAUUCCAGGUAAAGGAAGCCAGUGCAAAGGUUCUAUGGCAGCACUGUGCAACACAUGUUCUGCGAACUGCAGGAAGCCAGUAUGACCAACAGCUCACCAACAGAAUGAGCUGUUGGUGUUGGGAGAUGAAGAUGAAGGAGGCUGUGACUCAGAAGGAUCUUAUGAGCAGUGACUUAAACAAGGGGUUGCCAGAUCAUUGAGCACAGUUCAAGAAAGAGUUCUUGAGGUGUUUACAAUGCAACUUAACAAGUUUAUUUAAAUAACAUGGGGACCUGUGGACAGAAGAAGCUGUACUUUUGCUCUCUUAAAGCCAGUGGUUUUAUGCUUAGUGCUCAAGGGGCAGGGAUGUGCAGGGAAUAUUAGAUCAUAAAUGUUUUUUUCGAAUUUUUACUCAUAAAACUACUUUCACAAGGUUUCUCUGGUGCUUGUCAUUUCGCUUAGUAUUAACUAUCGGUGAGAUGUAUAGGUAGUCAUGAGACCCUUUAAGAACAUAGCAAACAGCUAAUUUCUGGUCCUUUUUGAAACUAUGCAGGUUGUAGGUCAGCCUUCUGGGCUAAAGGUGAACAUUUUCUGCUUCUUUCCCUCAUCACAGGAAUUGGCAUAUGGCCAGGGGUGGCCUUUGCCUUUUUAUUUUUUAAUAAAGUAUUAUUGAAAACACAGAUCCUUCAAUUUACAUAUUAUCCAUGGCUGCUUUUGUGAUACAACAGCAGGGUAGAGUUGAGUAGUUGCCACAGAGACAAAUAUUUGAGGCUUUUAUUUUAAAAGCUAAAGUAUUUACUGCCUAGUUCUUUACAGUAAGGAGAGUGUCCGCCUUAGACUUAAACACCUCUGUAUUAAACCCCACCCUUUCUUCCUCAACCUGCCCCCACCUGCUGCCCCCAGAGUAGCCCAUUACCAGGUCCA
Mustela erminea (ermine) is the source of this 2228-nucleotide long non-coding RNA. RefSeq lists it as uncharacterized. The transcript has 2 exons. Lineage: Eukaryota; Metazoa; Chordata; Mammalia; Carnivora; Mustelidae. The record is from RefSeq and is a predicted model, not a curated record.